GAAGAGGAAUACCCCGUGAACCUUAAGCAUUUUAAUAAGCCGGGGGAUUUUUCAUGCUGAUCCUUCCGUUCCU
RNAcentral lists this ribosomal RNA (73 nucleotides) under Trichoderma harzianum. Its description in RNAcentral is "partial 28S ribosomal RNA". Lineage: Eukaryota; Fungi; Ascomycota; Sordariomycetes; Hypocreales; Hypocreaceae. The record is from RNAcentral.